Molecule: long non-coding RNA, 1213 nt
Filed under: Panax ginseng (ginseng)
Lineage: Eukaryota; Viridiplantae; Streptophyta; Magnoliopsida; Apiales; Araliaceae
Description: long non-coding RNA (PGIN_LNC006414)
Source: RNAcentral
GUUGCUUUUUGCUUGCCGAAACAAAACCUUCAACCCCGCGAAUAAUAUCCCUUUGAAAAUGCUGCAAAAUCAUGAAUUUAAGAACUUUUCACAUAAUAAAAUCUCUUCUAAGAUGUUAAAGGAAAUUGCAUCACAACAUUCGUAUAUGAUAUAUCGAAUAGUUAACAAAUCAAAAAAAAUUAUAUUUGAACAACACAUUUAUAGAUUACAAACAUAUGUGUGCACAUAAGCCAUCAGUACCGAACUGGAACAGCCAAACAAAAUUUAGGAAAAUCUAUGAAACUAUAAAGUAGAAAUGAAGAUUUUCAGAACGAUAUUCUAUAGAGAAACAUAUACAUACAACGCCCAUAAAUUUCUUAAGAUUCUGAGUGUUGUUUGCAAAGAAAUACAUAAGACCAAUGGGAACUGUUACAUAUACAACAAACUUUGCCAUCUCCAAUAGAUAGCAUACGAGGCAAAGGGCGUAAACCCUAGAAUUAGCAGAAUAAGAUAUCAAGUAUCUACAGUAAAGCAGAGAUCCUAUUCAUAAGGCAAUUCUCGAAAUUAAAUUGCAAAAUAACAAGCUGCUUUUAAGCCAACAUUGAAAGCAGUGAUAUAAUAUGAAUCAAACAUUCAAUCAAACAAAGUUUAUAUGAACAACACAUUUUUAGAUUACUUGCAUGUACACGCAGAUAAGCCAUCAGUACCGAACUGGAACAGCCAAACAAAAUUUAGGAAAAACUAUAAAGUAGAAAUGAAGAUUUUCAGAACGAUAUUCUAUAGAGAAACAUAUACAUACAGCGCAGCGCCCAUGAAUUUCUGAAGAUUCUGAGUGUUGUUGGCGAAGAAAAACAUAAGACCAAUGGGAACUGUUACAUACAGCGAACUUUUCCAUCUCCAAUACACCCUUCCAAGUUCCCAGCGAUGACAUUUUCUACUUCUGUAAAUAGAAGUAAAAUAAAAGAGACAACGAUGCCGAGAUUGUAAGAUAGCAUACGAGGCAAAGAUUUUUUGGGCGUAAACCCUAGAUUUUCAAAUCCAUGUAAGACUCCCGAACUAUUUCAAAAUCAUAGAUUCCUAAUUAGCUACAAAAAAAAAGGUUAAAACGAAGGUGAAAGGUCGUGAUUUUGUUCUGGGAUGUAAAGCCAAGAGAUGAAGAAAGGGAAGAAGAAGAAAUUGAAAGCCCAAGAUCUGAGAUUCGGAGGCGAGAAAAAUGGGAGAUGAAAGAGAAUGU